AUAAAUCUGCAUUUUAAUUGAGAUUCGUUUCAGACCACAGACUAAUGGCUGUCCAUUUCACUCUGGGCAGGAGUGAAGCAUGCCGUUUCUUUUAAUAAUCCCGAGUGACAAUAUGUUGACAAAGCAGUCACACUGGAUGCAUAUUGAAAAGAUCAUUUUGUACUGGGAGACCCGGUGUGAAUGCAAUGCAGCUUCUGAAUGGCAAGGCAAUUUCUUGGUGGCAGGAUGAAUUCUCUUCCCGGCCCCAGUCUGCUCUAUCCUAAGCCACUGUGAGGGAAGAAAAAUAAACCUCUCCAUCCUGAAAUGGGCCCAUUUUGUAUUUCAGGCCCAAGUGCACUGGAGAACUGUUCCAUGAAAAAUGAUGCCUGACCCUCAUCUUUUCCUCCAAGCAUUAACCUGGAAGCAGUUGGCUUAAGGAUGGACAGCCAGAUGGACAGGACCAGCGAUGCAGCUGGGCUGGAAAAGUCAUGGAGAUGUGGAGAGCAGUGUGUGUUAAGGAAGAUGCUAUGAGGAAAACAUCUCGAGGGCUUGUGUUCCACCUGGGACCUGCUGGACUGAGUGACACCAUAACUCAAGCCCCCCAGUUACC
Non-coding RNA from Odocoileus virginianus texanus, 589 nucleotides. NCBI's taxonomy places the organism in Eukaryota, Metazoa, Chordata, Mammalia, Artiodactyla, Cervidae. The record is from RefSeq and is a predicted model, not a curated record.